RNAcentral lists this non-coding RNA (233 nucleotides) under Candidatus Methylobacter favarea. Lineage: Bacteria; Pseudomonadati; Pseudomonadota; Gammaproteobacteria; Methylococcales; Methylococcaceae. The record is from RNAcentral.
UUAUAUUUAACCCCGUACGGUUCUCGAUUUUAAUUUUAAAGUCGGGAUAAAAGGGAAUCCGGUGCCAGGUUUAAGCCCAAGCUGCCUGAAAGCCGGAGCUGCCCCCGCAACUGUAACCGGAUAGCACAUUGCCGCGUGCGCCACUGGGCAGGAAGUCAUUCCAAAGCCCGGGAAGGCCGGCAACAAGCGAUGACCCGGGAGCCAGGAGACCUGCCGUAGACUUUUUCAUUACG